RNAcentral lists this non-coding RNA (186 nucleotides) under Haloquadratum walsbyi. RNAcentral describes it as "Sense overlapping transcript RNA 2652 (sot)". It matches the Rfam family "Sense overlapping transcript RNA 2652 (sot)". From Rfam's summary of the family: It is associated with IS1341-type transposase (tnpB) genes, at the 3'-end in H. salinarum NRC-1. The tetraloop structural motif may be functional. The record is from Rfam by way of RNAcentral. Lineage: Archaea; Methanobacteriati; Methanobacteriota; Halobacteria; Halobacteriales; Haloferacaceae.
AUUACCGGACUCGCAAAACCCAACCGUUUGUUCGGAAGGUGAGCCUGUCUGGGUCGGGGCGUUCUAUAAAGCGCCCAUCCUCAUCCCGUGAAAUCGCUUCGCGUGGAGUGCUUACGACGUAUGCUGAGGGAAUUAGGAAAGCCACGGGUCGGGUGACCCGUGGUCGUUUACGCCCCGAUCGCCUCG